UCACUUUCAACAACGGA
RNAcentral lists this ribosomal RNA (17 nucleotides) under uncultured Glomus. RNAcentral's name for it is "partial 5.8S ribosomal RNA". The record is from RNAcentral. Lineage: Eukaryota; Fungi; Glomeromycota; Glomeromycetes; Glomerales; Glomeraceae.